This 2931-nucleotide ribosomal RNA is filed under the name Enterobacter cloacae. RNAcentral's name for it is "bacterial LSU rRNA". It matches the Rfam family "Bacterial large subunit ribosomal RNA". The record is from RNAcentral. RNAcentral also lists the same sequence under 1 other name. Lineage: Bacteria; Pseudomonadati; Pseudomonadota; Gammaproteobacteria; Enterobacterales; Enterobacteriaceae.
GGGUUGUGAGGUUAAGCGACUAAGCGUACACGGUGGAUGCCCUGGCAGUCAGAGGCGAUGAAGGACGUGCUAAUCUGCGAAAAGCGCCGGCGAGGUGAUAUGAACCUUUGACCCGGCGAUGUCCGAAUGGGGAAACCCAGUGCAAUCCGUUGCACUAUCGUUAACUGAAUACAUAGGUUAACGAGGCGAACCGGGGGAACUGAAACAUCUAAGUACCCCGAGGAAAAGAAAUCAACCGAGAUUCCCCCAGUAGCGGCGAGCGAACGGGGAGCAGCCCGGAGUCUGAAUCAGCUUGUGUGUUAGUGGAACGGUCUGGAAAGUCCGACGGUACAGGGUGAUAGUCCCGUACACGAAAGCACACAUGCUGUGAACUCGAAGAGUAGGGCGGGACACGUGGUAUCCUGUCUGAAUAUGGGGGGACCAUCCUCCAAGGCUAAAUACUCCUGACUGACCGAUAGUGAACCAGUACCGUGAGGGAAAGGCGAAAAGAACCCCGGCGAGGGGAGUGAAAAAGAACCUGAAACCGUGUACGUACAAGCAGUGGGAGCCUCUUUAUGGGGUGACUGCGUACCUUUUGUAUAAUGGGUCAGCGACUUAUAUUCUGUAGCAAGGUUAACCGUAUAGGGGAGCCGAAGGGAAACCGAGUCUUAACUGGGCGUUAAGUUGCAGGGUAUAGACCCGAAACCCGGUGAUCUAGCCAUGGGCAGGUUGAAGGUUGGGUAACACUAACUGGAGGACCGAACCGACUAAUGUUGAAAAAUUAGCGGAUGACCUGUGGCUGGGGGUGAAAGGCCAAUCAAACCGGGAGAUAGCUGGUUCUCCCCGAAAGCUAUUUAGGUAGCGCCUCGUGAACUCAUCUUCGGGGGUAGAGCACUGUUUCGGCUAGGGGGCCAUCCCGGCUUACCAACCCGAUGCAAACUACGAAUACCGAAGAAUGUUAUCACGGGAGACACACGGCGGGUGCUAACGUCCGUCGUGAAGAGGGAAACAACCCAGACCGCCAGCUAAGGUCCCAAAGUCAUGGUUAAGUGGGAAACGAUGUGGGAAGGCACAGACAGCCAGGAUGUUGGCUUAGAAGCAGCCAUCAUUUAAAGAAAGCGUAAUAGCUCACUGGUCGAGUCGGCCUGCGCGGAAGAUGUAACGGGGCUAAACCAUGCACCGAAGCUGCGGCAGCGACACUAUGUGUUGUUGGGUAGGGGAGCGUUCUGUAAGCCGUUGAAGGUGUGCUGUGAGGCAUGCUGGAGGUAUCAGAAGUGCGAAUGCUGACAUAAGUAACGAUAAAGCGGGUGAAAAGCCCGCUCGCCGGAAGACCAAGGGUUCCUGUCCAACGUUAAUCGGGGCAGGGUGAGUCGACCCCUAAGGCGAGGCCGAAAGGCGUAGUCGAUGGGAAACAGGUUAAUAUUCCUGUACUUGGUGUUACUGCGAAGGGGGGACGGAGAAGGCUAUGUCAGCCGGGCGACGGUUGUCCCGGUUUAAGCAUGUAGGCGGAGGUUCCAGGUAAAUCCGGUACCUUUUAACGCUGAGGUGUGAUGACGAGGCACUACGGUGCUGAAGUGAUAAAUGCCCUGCUUCCAGGAAAAGCCUCUAAGCAUCAGGUAACAUCAAAUCGUACCCCAAACCGACACAGGUGGUCAGGUAGAGAAUACCAAGGCGCUUGAGAGAACUCGGGUGAAGGAACUAGGCAAAAUGGUGCCGUAACUUCGGGAGAAGGCACGCUGAUGUGUAGGUGAAGCCCCUGCGGGCGGAGCUGAAAUCAGUCGAAGAUACCAGCUGGCUGCAACUGUUUAUUAAAAACACAGCACUGUGCAAACACGAAAGUGGACGUAUACGGUGUGACGCCUGCCCGGUGCCGGAAGGUUAAUUGAUGGGGUUAGCGGCAACGCGAAGCUCUUGAUCGAAGCCCCGGUAAACGGCGGCCGUAACUAUAACGGUCCUAAGGUAGCGAAAUUCCUUGUCGGGUAAGUUCCGACCUGCACGAAUGGCGUAAUGAUGGCCAGGCUGUCUCCACCCGAGACUCAGUGAAAUUGAACUCGCUGUGAAGAUGCAGUGUACCCGCGGCAAGACGGAAAGACCCCGUGAACCUUUACUAUAGCUUGACACUGAACACUGGUCCUUGAUGUGUAGGAUAGGUGGGAGGCUUUGAAGCGUGGACGCCAGUCUGCGUGGAGCCGACCUUGAAAUACCACCCUUUAAUGGCUGGUGUUCUAACGUAGACCCGUAAUCCGGGUUGCGGACAGUGUCUGGUGGGUAGUUUGACUGGGGCGGUCUCCUCCCAAAGAGUAACGGAGGAGCACGAAGGUUGGCUAAUCCUGGUCGGACAUCAGGAGGUUAGUGCAAUGGCAUAAGCCAGCUUGACUGCGAGCGUGACGGCGCGAGCAGGUGCGAAAGCAGGUCAUAGUGAUCCGGUGGUUCUGAAUGGAAGGGCCAUCGCUCAACGGAUAAAAGGUACUCCGGGGAUAACAGGCUGAUACCGCCCAAGAGUUCAUAUCGACGGCGGUGUUUGGCACCUCGAUGUCGGCUCAUCACAUCCUGGGGCUGAAGUAGGUCCCAAGGGUAUGGCUGUUCGCCAUUUAAAGUGGUACGCGAGCUGGGUUUAGAACGUCGUGAGACAGUUCGGUCCCUAUCUGCCGUGGGCGCUGGAGAAUUGAGGGGGGCUGCUCCUAGUACGAGAGGACCGGAGUGGACGCAUCACUGGUGUUCGGGUUGUCAUGCCAAUGGCACUGCCCGGUAGCUAAAUGCGGAAGAGAUAAGUGCUGAAAGCAUCUAAGCACGAAACUUGCCCCGAGAUGAGUUCUCCCUGAGACUUUAAGUCUCCUGAAGGAACGUUGAAGACGACGACGUUGAUAGGUCGGGUGUGUAAGCGCAGCGAUGCGUUGAGCUAACCGAUACUAAUGAACCGUGAGGCUUAACCUUACAACGCCGAAGGUGUUU